This is a long non-coding RNA of Pangasianodon hypophthalmus (striped catfish), 885 nucleotides long. RefSeq lists it as uncharacterized. The transcript is spliced from 3 exons. The record is from RefSeq and is a predicted model, not a curated record. NCBI's taxonomy places the organism in Eukaryota, Metazoa, Chordata, Actinopteri, Siluriformes, Pangasiidae.
GCACCGGAGCGCACCCGCCCCCCUUUCGACCGAUGAGAUUCUUCUUUUUUUCCAGAUGUCCCGCCCCGAUCCCACUCCCUAAUUUUUGUGGGUCUGUUCACGCGCAUCUGUGCUCCGUGCGGGGGUCCGUUCACGUGCUUCAACCCCCUUUCUCUCUCACCCCCUGGUCUGGGGCCCCGUGCAAAUUAUCCAGCCCGCACGCGGUCGGAUUUCAGGCGGCUAGUGUCAUGCCGUUCCGGUCUUAAACUUUAGCUAAUAUUUAAUACAUCUUGGAUAAAUUUGGAUUAAAGCUAGCUAGCAAAAAUUCCCCAAUUGAAAGAGUUUAGCAAAAAAAAAAAAAAAAAAAAAAAACCAGUGCUUAGCAUCAGUUAGGUUAGUCUGGCUAUUUAUAUUUAGCCACUUUUUACCAACAAGCAUACGGGGAACAUUUAAUGCACAAUGUACAAAUUAUUUAUUUGUUACUGCUGUGUAUAAGUGAUUUAUCUGAAGCUAGUCAAAGUUGAUGGUCGUAGUGAUGAACUUUUUUUUUCCCCUUUUCUUGUGUAUCGUGCGAUUUUCGUUUUUUUUUUUAUUAAUAUUUUAUUUUUUAAACAUAAACAGUAUCUGUUAUAUGCAAAAAAAUAUAUUUUAAGAGAACUUGUGACAGGUGUUUCGAUGGGAAAAGAACUUUAGGGUAUAUAAGAAACGAGACGGACUAACAUUUUCCAAUGAAGAAAUUCGGGGAUCGACAUGAUGGCUCAUGCUUUAAAAGUUCAAGCUGAAAUUCACCGGGUGCCUGAGUAUCAGGUUACAGCGGAAGAACUAGAGGGUAUUAGCCUCACUCAGACGGAUCCAGGUACCGUACCUCUGUUUUUUUGUUUUUGGCCUCUGCUAUUUAGUUCUGGU